UAAGGUCACGGCGAGACCAGCCGUUUAUCAUUACGAUAGGUGUCAAGUGGAAGUGCAGCGAUGUAUGCAGCUGAGGCAUCCUAACAGACCGAGAGAUUUGAAC
This 103-nucleotide ribosomal RNA is filed under the name Smilax china. RNAcentral's name for it is "4.5S ribosomal RNA". The record is from RNAcentral. RNAcentral also lists the same sequence under 11 other names. Lineage: Eukaryota; Viridiplantae; Streptophyta; Magnoliopsida; Liliales; Smilacaceae.